Molecule: long non-coding RNA, 611 nt
Filed under: Sus scrofa (pig)
Lineage: Eukaryota; Metazoa; Chordata; Mammalia; Artiodactyla; Suidae
Description: lncRNA (ENSSSCG00045010326.1)
Source: RNAcentral
GGCGCUGCGCAGGUGGCCGCAGGGGCGGGGGGCUCGGCCCUGAGGCCAGCGUGCAGCCCGGAACGCGGAGGAGGGGGAUGCGCAACCACUGAAUUAAUUGCACACGUUAAGGGAGAACGCUGUGAUUGUGACUCAGACUGUUUUGAAAAAGAAACGUGCUCUCAAAUGGCUGAGUUGGAAAGAAAGGAAGUACUUCUUAGGGCCUGAAACUUGGCUUAUCCGGCAGGCUCAAGUUGAGGAAUUCCCAUCACGGGAAAAUGCACUCGGCUCGGUCCUGAAGUGUGACCACAGAAUCCAGGUUGGAGACAGGAUUCACCAGAGUCAAAGGAGAGCUUUUUUCCAAUUUCACGCCUGCUUUACAUUCAAGAGGGAAAUUUUGAGGCUUCCGGACCUGCAAUGGGAGCGUAAGUUACAGGCACAGCCUCUGCCUAAGACUGGCGGCAGUCCGGGGACCUCUUCCGUCUUGGUCACAGCCGCUCACCGGGAGGGAGGGCGCUGUCUUCUCUUCCAGCAGCAAGACGGUUCCCUGCUGUCUUGUCACAUUUAGGAGCAAACUCCUGGUCUGCAGAGUGGCAGGACCUAACCUCAGUGGCUGUUCCCUGCGGGCCCCU